GUAAGCCAGCUAAUGUAUACUCAGGUCAGGACAAUUUCUUUGUUGUUUAGUGACUGUGCCUUAGGGUUCUUUAGGCACUUUGUCUCUAUUAACAUGUGGGCCAAGUCAAACUAGUUUGCAUCAUUUCCAGGGGCACUAUAUUUCUGAAUUUUAUGCUGAUUUUAAAAAAUAUUAAUUCUGUUCAUUUGAAGCACACACAACAGUGUAAUGCAUUAUCACCUUCGAAGAUUCAGUGGGUCCCUGAAACUCAAACUUGGAUCAAUGACUCCAGCUGGUCCUGAUCUACCAACGACUCACUGGGGUUACUUGGCUGCUUGGACAGCUUGGAUGAGAUGGGAGGCAUCAGCUCCGUUCCUUCUGGUGAAAUGGAAGAUCACUAAACCUUACUUCUGUAGAUCCUGCCUCUGCCUUCUAAGACUGGAUGUUUGACUGAAUUGACUGGAUCGACCUGCUGUUUUGGCAUCAUGUGAACACAGCCAGUAAGUGCUGAUGCAGCUACAGAAUUGUAGAAAUUAAUCCUGAAAAUGGUGGUGAAGGAAAUCCAAGCCCGAGUCAGAAACCAUGCUCAGUCGGGGAAGGCUGAUCAAUUUCCCGCUCCCUAAUUAAAACAAGCCACCAAACACCACAGUAGCACAAAAUCUAGUGCAUUCUUUAGUGAUGGAUGUGACCGGCUUGCAAAUUUCUUCUUGCUGGAGGAUGGUGAUUUCUUGUGCAACAGCAGGUAAACAGAAAGCCUGCUGGCAAUUCAUGUUCUAUAAUGUGUAUAGAUCCACACCCUCAACCCCUAGACACAGAAAUCCCGUUUGAACUGAAUUCAUAAGAAUAUUUUUACCAAGGAGUCAGGUUGGGUGUAAUGGAUAUGGAGUACUUGAUUUAACAUCAGAUACCCUGAGUUGAAAUGCUACCCAUGUAAAAAAAACCCACUUAAAAAGUGAUUUCUCCAG
RNAcentral lists this long non-coding RNA (944 nucleotides) under Monodelphis domestica (gray short-tailed opossum). RNAcentral describes it as "lncRNA (ENSMODG00000031618.2)". Lineage: Eukaryota; Metazoa; Chordata; Mammalia; Didelphimorphia; Didelphidae. The record is from RNAcentral.